AGCGAAACCGCGAGGUCAAGCAAAUCCCAUAAAGUUGUUCUCAGUUCGGAUUGUAGUCUGCAACUCGACUACAUGAAGCUGGAAUCGCUAGUAAUCGUAGAUCAGCAUGCUACGGUGAAUACGUUCCCGGGUCUUGUACACACCGCCCGUCACACCACGAGAGUUUGUAACACCCGAAGCCGGUGGAGUAACCAUUUGGAGCUAGCCGUCGAAGGUGGGACAAAUGAUUGGGGUGAAGUCGUAACAAGGUAGCCGUAUCGGAAGGUGCGGCUGGAUCACCUCCUUUCUAAGGA
Molecule: ribosomal RNA, 293 nt
Filed under: Staphylococcus pseudintermedius
Lineage: Bacteria; Bacillati; Bacillota; Bacilli; Caryophanales; Staphylococcaceae
Description: partial 16S ribosomal RNA
Rfam family: Bacterial small subunit ribosomal RNA
Source: RNAcentral